Molecule: non-coding RNA, 28 nt
Filed under: Rattus norvegicus (Norway rat)
Lineage: Eukaryota; Metazoa; Chordata; Mammalia; Rodentia; Muridae
Source: RNAcentral
UCAGCAUAACAAUAAUGUCGGCCUCUUU